RNAcentral lists this ribosomal RNA (429 nucleotides) under Acidobacteriota bacterium. RNAcentral's name for it is "Acidobacteria bacterium partial 16S ribosomal RNA". It matches the Rfam family "Bacterial small subunit ribosomal RNA", at positions 355 to 776 of the family's 1533-position model. Lineage: Bacteria; Pseudomonadati; Acidobacteriota. The record is from RNAcentral.
UGGGGAAUUUUGGACAAUGGGGGAAACCCUGAUCCAGCCAUCCCGCGUGUGCGAUGAAGGCCUUCGGGUUGUAAAGCACUUUUGGCAGGAAAGAAACGUCAUGGGUUAAUACCCCGUGAAACUGACGGUACCUGCAGAAUAAGCACCGGCUAACUACGUGCCAGCAGCCGCGGUAAUACGUAGGGUGCAAGCGUUAAUCGGAAUUACUGGGCGUAAAGCGUGCGCAGGCGGUUCGGAAAGAAAGAUGUGAAAUCCCAGAGCUCAACUUUGGAACUGCAUUUUUAACUACCGGGCUAGAGUGUGGCAGAGGGAGGUGGAAUUCCGCGUGUAGCAGUGAAAUGCGUAGAUAUGCGGAGGAACACCGAUGGCGAAGGCAGCCUCCUGGGGUAACACUGACGCUCAGGCACGAAAGCGUGGGGAGCAAACAGG